UUCCGGUUGAUCCUGCCGGAGGUCACUGCUAUCGGGGUUCGAUUAAGCCAUGCGAGUCGAGAGGGUUCGGCCCUCGGCGUACUGCUCAGUAACACGUGGAUAACCUGCCCUAAGGAAGGGGAUACCCCCGGGAAACUGGGGAUAAUACCCUAUAGGUUACAGAUGCUGGAAUGCUCUGUAACCGAAAGUUCCGGCGCCUUAGGAUGGAUCUGCGGCCGAUUAGGUUGUUGUCGGGGUAACGGCCCAACAAGCCAGUAAUCGGUACGGGUUGUGGGAGCAAGAGCCCGGAGUUGGAUUCUGAGACACGAAUCCAGGCCCUACGGGGCGCAGCAGGCGCGAAAACUUUACAAUGCGGGCAACCGUGAUAAGGGAACCUCGAGUGCCUGUAUAUGCAGGCUGUCUGGGUGUCUAAAACACACCUAAAGAAAGGGCCGGGCAAGACCGGUGCCAGCCGCCGCGGUAAUACCGGCGGCUCGAGUGGUGGCCACUUUUAUUGGGCUUAAAGCGUUCGUAGCUGGGUUAUUAAGUCCCUUGGGAAAUCCGACGGCUUAACCGUCGGGCGUCUAAGGGAUACUGGCAAUCUUGGAACCGGGAGAGGUGAGGGGUACUUCGGGGGUAGGAGUGAAAUCCUGUAAUCCUCGAGGGACCACCUGUGGCGAAGGCGCCUCACCAGAACGGCUUCGACAGUGAGGGACGAAAGCUGGGGGAGCAAACCGGAUUAGAUACCCGGGUAGUCCCAGCCGUAAACGAUGUGCGUUAGGUGUAUCGGUGACCACGAGUCACCGAGGUGCCGAAGGGAAACCGUGAAACGUACCGCCUGGGAAGUACGGUCGCAAGGCUGAAACUUAAAGGAAUUGGCGGGGGAGCACCACAACAGGUGGAGCCUGCGGUUUAAUUGGACUCAACGCCGG
This 911-nucleotide ribosomal RNA is filed under the name bacterium enrichment culture clone F8 1.705-A12. Its description in RNAcentral is "bacterial SSU rRNA". It matches the Rfam family "Archaeal small subunit ribosomal RNA", at positions 1 to 921 of the family's 1478-position model. The record is from RNAcentral.